RNAcentral lists this ribosomal RNA (444 nucleotides) under uncultured bacterium. RNAcentral describes it as "SSU rRNA". It matches the Rfam family "Bacterial small subunit ribosomal RNA", at positions 26 to 518 of the family's 1533-position model. The record is from RNAcentral.
AGAGCGAACGCUGGCGGCAGGCCUAACACAUGCAAGUCGAGCGCCCCGCAAGGGGAGCGGCAGACGGGAGAGUAACACGUGGGAACGUACCCUUUGGUUCGGAACAACACAGGGAAACUUGUGCUAAUACCGGAUAAGCCCUUACGGGGAAAGAUUUAUUGCCAAAGGAUCGGCCCGCGUCUGAUUAGCUUGUUGGUGAGGUAACGGCUCACCAAGGCUACGAUCAGUAGCUGGUCUGAGAGGAUGAUCAGCCUCACUGGGACUGAGACACGGCCCAGACUCCUACGGGAGGCAGCAGUGGGGAAUAUUGGACAAUGGGCGCAAGCCUGAUCCAGCCAUGCCGCGUGGAUGAUGGAGGCCCUAGGGUUGUAAAGUCCUUUCGACGGGGAAGAUAAUGACGGUACCCGUAGAAGAAGCCCCGGCUAACUUCGUGCCAGCAGCCGC